Molecule: long non-coding RNA, 1341 nt
Organism: Osmia lignaria (orchard mason bee)
Lineage: Eukaryota; Metazoa; Arthropoda; Insecta; Hymenoptera; Megachilidae
Source: RefSeq, a predicted model, not a curated record
ACCACACAGCAUGUAUUACUAAACGUUCUUGUGGUCGUGAUUACCUUUCCAAUCAAGUAUCUCAAUCUCGAUACAUUAAGUUCAUACAUAUUGAGAAAAAUAAGAAGAAAGACAUUUGAGGUUCUCUCAACAUCUGCUUCAAAGUUGAACGUCUCCCUUACCUUCGGUUUUGGUAUGAUAAUAAAAAUCUUAAUCACCAUUUUCUUGCGACAAGAAACGUUUGUUUUCGGAAGGAUACUUUUUCAACCCCCCCUACCUUAUAUCUUCGUUACUCGCCUGCUUCUAUCCCCGCGGUAUAAGGUAAGGUCGAAGGAGAUUGUUUGUGAGGUGAUGAAAGGAGGCUUUCCCUGCUCGCCGGUUAAUUAAUAACCAUACAGACACGAUCUCCGCCUAUCUGGCUAUCCGAUGAAGCUCGACAACUUGUUGGCAAAGGCUUUGGUAUGGUCAUGCCGUUGCCUGGUCGGUUCCUAAGGUGUGCCUCCCUCAACUGGUAGAAAGAGAAGGAAACGAAAUGCGAGUGUAAGAGUGAAGAGGGAGAGGCGAGGGGGAUGGUUAUUGAUGACCAGCUUUGUUUGCCCCCCGAACCGUUUAUUAAAAUCCAACGCGGGUGAUUAACCUCUUCUCGACUACGUCAUCCUGCCAGCUACCAGGCGAAACACCUCCACAUCUCGGCGUGUAGAUGGGUUUGACCGGGAAACCGUUCAUUAAAAUCAAACACGGCUAUCUCAGCUACUAGGCGGAACAGUCUCCUCCACCAUAUUAUGAAUUAAAAUGAUGCACAAGUUUUUUUUUUAGAACCUCCCACGUAAGUUACAUUGAGUAUUUAAUACAUUAGUGAUCACUGUUGUAGAAAAGUGAAGUUUAAAAUGAUAUUUAAUAACAUGUGUCAAUUGAACGUAUUGAAAUUGAUCAGAGAAACGAAGAUGAGAUGGAAUCCAUUUAACGUUGUUAAAGAUGUUUUUAAAUUGUUAUAAAUAUAUUCAAUUAUUUGCGCGUCCAGGAUCGAAGAAGAAAAGCAAAUUAAAGAAAGAACCGAAGAGAAAAGAAAGAAGAAAAUGGAUGCAUCGAGAGCUUCGUAGCAAUCCAGCAGAGAACACACGGCUGAAACGAGGAUUUGCAAACAAUAGGCUCGAAGCGGGUUGAAUUUUUUAGAUGGCGGCUUGAUACGCAUGCAUUUACAUAUUAUUGCUAUUAUUAGGGGGAGUACACAAACGAGCACACUGAACUCUUUUGAAGACACAGGAAAUUAGAUCACAUCGAAGGUGAACAAACGUCUGGGUAGGGAGUUCUCUAGACUGCGUUGCGCCAGGUUUCAAAUUAAAAACGGCGACAUUGGAAGCA